Molecule: long non-coding RNA, 3287 nt
Organism: Manihot esculenta (cassava)
Lineage: Eukaryota; Viridiplantae; Streptophyta; Magnoliopsida; Malpighiales; Euphorbiaceae
Exons: 2
Source: RefSeq, a predicted model, not a curated record
CCCGUUACUAAUUUUUUUCCUCUUUGGAGAAUGGGCCGCGAGCUAAAUCCAUUAUCCCCUCGACAACAAUGGAUGGGGCCAACCAGAGACAUUGCCAAAGGCUAGCCCGUCCUCUUCGCCGCCCAGGUAUGCUCGAACCACCCCCACCUUCCCGUCUGGACCGGAUUCAUCUCCACCCAGCCCUCAGGUCUCCUCAAUCUACACUCGACCCUUCCGCUUCCCUCCUGACUCAGCAAGACAUGUCACUCUGUUUGAUUUGAAGACUUCCCUCCCAGGACUUCACCAAUCCAAGACCUUAACCGAGGACCUUUCCUUACAGCGUCAAGCAGCAAUGGUUGGAGAAGGUCAACUGCCUCGACCCUCUUGGUAACGUCGUCUUUAGAAAGCUUGUGGGUUAUCCUGGUUGAUUAUUGUUGAAACAAAUAUACAAUACAGACAUAAAUAGACUCUUCAAUCACGGGAAUUUGCCAAAGGUGUAAUACAAUCUCUCAUGACUUUUAAACUCUACCUUCGGUGUGUUUCCCUAUGUUCUGUUUUUUCGAGGUUACUUACAUGCAUGGAUGAGUAGCUCUUUCUGUUUCCUUAAGAACUGGAAAGAGCGGAAGUGCCAGAGGAAAUGCUCGCGUGAUAGAAACGAACAUAAUCGAGAUAAGGGUGAACGGAUAGUUAAUAAAUUAUGACCAAUCGGCAAGUUUUUUGAGAAACCAACCAAAUUGAAAGCUACCUCGUGAACUUAUUUGGGUUAAUGAGGGCAAUAUGGUGGCGGGCGAUGGUCAUUUUCGCAAAAGACUUGAUUGUUUGGCUGAUUUAGUAUUUAUCAGUUGUGCACAAUGAAGCUAUGACGAGUAGUCAUAAAGGGUAUGGGGCUUUUUGUGUCGGCGCAGAUGCUGCAAUUAUAUGCACUAAUGUGAGAGUUGGAAAGGAAUUUCGCCAUUUGAAAGGUAUUAGUUUUCGUUUUAUGGAUGGGCCAUGUUCCUAUGGUUGCCUUGAAUGCAGUGUUAUUGAGCUGUCACUUCUGAUAUUUCUGUGCAAGAGUAAUUGAAUCUAAUGUCCGCCUUUGUAUGGAUUAUUUUAAUAUUUUAUUUAACCAUGAUAGGUUUGAUUGUUCAAAAAAGAAUUUAGUCUUGCUUGCUUGAUUUCUACCUUCCCCAUACUUGGAAGUUCUAUGUGUUGAUUAUUUGCAAUUCUUAUAUGAACUUCUAGUUAGUGAGAUAUGACAAAUUGAAAAUAAUGCAAUUGAUAUGAAGUUAUGGGUCAGAGACAGAGACAAGGUAACGAUCAAUCCUUUUGGUGUUGAGAUAGAAGAAAAAUAGUCUGACAUGGUCUACGAAAGAGAAAAAAAAAUCUGGGAGAGAUUAUGUCAGCAUGGAGCUUGCAGUAAUAUACUGAAGGCUGAAGAGGAUUAGGAGGUAAUGGAUGCUGCUAGAUUUUGAAGCAAGACAGCAGCAGGAUCAGUUGGGGUUCGUUGCUAUAUAGAACAGAAAAGAUAGCAACUGAAGCAAGAGAAGAUCAAUUUGAAUUUAGAGAUGCAGAAUGAAGCAUCUAUUGUUGAAGGAGUAGGACUUCUUCUUCUUCUUUUAUAUUUUUAUUUUUUAUUUUUUUACUUUGUGAGAAAUUAAAUUCAGGUUAAUUUUCAGCGUCAUUGGACUAGUGAGCUGUAAAUUUCACCUAGUUAGACACAUAUUGUAGGCUUAUGAAGCAAGCUUCAUAACACAAUUUUUGGAAGACACUAGAAGUAUGAAACCAGCCUGAUUGAAAAGAAAUACAAUAAACUUCUGUUCAUUUGUCAAUUGUUUGUGUUGAAAUAAGUUUGUUUCCAUGUAGGAUUGCUGUAGUCAAAGUGGUUGAAAUUAUUUCAGGUUUGGUACAUCAAUCUUGAGAAGUACAAGGAUGCAAAAAGUCAAAGCCGCAUGAAGCAUUUUGUUCCCCCUCUUUCUCAGCAUGUGCUUCAGUGCAUGUCAAGGGUGGGCAGGGGAAGGGGUGGCUGUAUGCAUGUGGUAUUCCUAUUUUAAAACUGGCAGUAGGAGAUUGAAUUUUGCCCAUUUGGGAAAAUCUUAUACUAAGUUGAUUUCAUUGUUGAUCACUUCAAAAUUUCUUUGUAUUUUUCCUUCUGAUAAUCACAGAUAUGUUGUGGAUUUACGCUCAGUAUUUUUUUCCCCAUAGGAAAUCUUCUAUCCAAUUGUUUGUGUAGUUUUUGAGUGUCUAUAAAAGUUUGUUUUGUUAUGAGGUUUUAAACAAAGGAUAAGGUUGGCAUAACUUAUGUUAUCUUCAUGAGUGAUUAUAGUUUGCCCAGUUGUUAAAAAUUGAUCAGUAAACAUUUUGGAUUCAUUAGUGAAUCAAUGAUAAACUAUCUUUUGUAUUAUUGAAGGUGCUCAAUAUAUUCAAUUGUUGUUUGUUGCCUCUGUGUUUAUACUUUGCUUUAUAAGCUUUCAUAUUAUUUUUACUUUAAAUCAUUUGCUGGUUUAAACUUCUAUAUUGCACAGAAUUCUACGUUAGAUUCUUGUGAACUCUUUAUGAGACUUGUUUCUUGCAGUACAGCUGGUCAUAAUUGUAGAUCUUGUCUGGAAUCACUCUUAUGACCACCCUAAUACGAGUAUUUAUUUUUUGUAUUAUACUUUGCAACUUCUUGUUAUUUAUUUAUUUAUUUUAUUAUUUUUGCAUGUGGCAGGCUUUAGAUAUUUCUAUGGGCAAAGCCAAUUAGUAUUCCCAUUCAUUUGAUGCAAAAUCUCCUGAUUGUUCUACCAUUGAGAUGUCUAAAGCUAACAAUCAGAUUAAUUUUCCUGUUUCAUCUUAUUUCGAGGCACAUCUCUUCCUAGAUCUACAUGAUUUGAUCUUCUAUGAAGUCCAUCCAAGACAUGAGAGUUCACUUGGACUCUCCCAAGGAAAACUGACUCUUGGCUUAUAUGCUGCAGGCGUAAUAAGUAGUUAAUUGAUCUAAAGGGAAAUAAAGGACACGUCAUGGAUCUUAUGAGCUGUCAGGCUGCUGGAAUGUUCGGCAUGUGCAGGAUUCAGGAUAUUUGUGGAAUUCAAUGACUAAUGGCUACAGUAACCUGUGAAACUGAUUUUAAGAUGGAGUAAAUGGAAUUUUCCUUGUAAUGAUAAAAUUAAUGGGACCUAUAUCCACGUUAUUACAGAAGCUUCUCUUUCAAUGCUGUUGGGAUACCUUUCUCAUUUAUGUUCAGCAAGAUGAUGAGCUUGGGCGCAACAUAUUUCUUGUGACAAAAAGGAUAUGGUUCCUUUGGAAGUGAAACCAGAAUUUUAUCUCACUAAAUUGAUGGUAUUUUGCA